Molecule: unclassified non-coding RNA, 237 nt
Filed under: Hevea brasiliensis (rubber tree)
Lineage: Eukaryota; Viridiplantae; Streptophyta; Magnoliopsida; Malpighiales; Euphorbiaceae
Source: RNAcentral
AAAAAAAAAAAGGAACCCCGCAAAUUCUAAAUAGCUGAUGAGGUUGUGAAGAGGGUUAGUAAUUGAAGGCCUACCAAUGACGUCGCCGUCUUGGUUGGGGUUCUGAGAAUUCCCUCGGGAACAGAAAGGUCUAAGAAGAUAGUAUUUAUUAAAGGAAGAAAUGAAAAUUUGGUUAAUCUUGACGUCUAGAGGGUAUAAACGAAGGGAGACGAGCUUGAAGAUCCAUUUGCAUCCAAA